Molecule: ribosomal RNA, 496 nt
Filed under: uncultured bacterium
Lineage: Bacteria
Description: partial 16S ribosomal RNA
Rfam family: Bacterial small subunit ribosomal RNA
Source: RNAcentral
AUGAACGCUGGCGGCGUGCCUAAUACAUGCAAGUCGAGCGAACAGACGAGGAGCUUGCUCCUCUGACGUUAGCGGCGGACGGGUGAGUAACACGUGGAUAACCUACCUAUAAGACUGGGAUAACUUCGGGAAACCGGAGCUAAUACCGGAUAAUAUAUUGAACCGCAUGGUUCAAUAGUGAAAGACGGUUUUGCUGUCACUUAUAGAUGGAUCCGCGCCGCAUUAGCUAGUUGGUAAGGUAACGGCUUACCAAGGCAACGAUGCGUAGCCGACCUGAGAGGGUGAUCGGCCACACUGGAACUGAGACACGGUCCAGACUCCUACGGGAGGCAGCAGUAGGGAAUCUUCCGCAAUGAGCGAAAGCCUGACGGAGCAACGCCGCGUGAGUGAUGAAGGUCUUCGGAUCGUAAAACUCUGUUAUUAGGGAAGAACAAAUGUGUAAGUAACUAUGCACGUCUUGACGGUACCUAAUCAGAAAGCCACGGCUAACUACGUG